CUAGUUACUAAAGCCAAAACGGACCCAGCUAAAACUCUGGGGACAUCCCUGUGUCCUCGGAUGGAAGAUGUUCCCUUGUUAGAGCCACUGAUCUGUAAAAAGAUAGCUCAUGAGAGACUGACGGUAUUGGUUUUUCUUGAAGACUGUCUAGUCACUGCUUGUCAGGAGGGAUUUAUUUGCACAUGGGCAAGGCCUGGUAAAGUGUCGGCAGAGCAGUUCUGCAGGCAGGAGGACAGAGUGCAAGGUGUUCUCCAAGACCAGAACUAAAGAGCCCUCCUGCCGUGGACCACCAGGAACGCGAGCUCCUGAUGUUGCAAUAACCAAUGAAGCUUGAAUAUCAGUACUGUUACUCAUUUCCUGACAACUGUGUUUGUUUCAUUGCUCUGUCUUUUAGCUGUUCCCCUGUCCCUGUCACAGCAGAAGACUUACCAUACACUUGACUUCUGAAGCACUGGAGGCUGUCCUCUGUAUAUUGACAUUGAAUAAACGUGUGAAUGCACUGU
This 503-nucleotide long non-coding RNA is filed under the name Rattus norvegicus (Norway rat). Its description in RNAcentral is "long non-coding RNA NONRATT025370". The record is from RNAcentral. Lineage: Eukaryota; Metazoa; Chordata; Mammalia; Rodentia; Muridae.